GAUGAACGCUGGCGGCGUGCCUAAUACAUGCAAGUCGAGCGAACGGACGAGAAGCUUGCUUCCCUGAUGUUAGCGGCGGACGGGUGAGUAACACGUGGAUAACCUACCUAUAAGACUGGGAUAACUUCGGGAAACCGGAGCUAAUACCGGAUAAUAUUUUGAACCGCAUGGUUCAAAAGUGAAAGACGGUCUUGCUGUCACUUAUAGAUGGAUCCACGCUGCAUUAGCUAGUUGGUAAGGUAACGGCUUACCAAGGCAACGAUGCAUAGCCGACCUGAGAGGGUGAUCGGCCACACUGGAACUGAGACACGGUCCAGACUCCUACGGGAGGCAGCAGUAGGGAAUCUUCCGCAAUGGGCGAAAGCCUGACGGAGCAACGCCGCGUGAGUGAUGAAGGUCUUCGGAUCGUAAAACUCUGUUAUUAGGGAAGAACAUAUGUGUAAGUAACUGUGCACAUCUUGACGGUACCUAAUCAGAAAGCCACGGCUAACUACGUG
This 497-nucleotide ribosomal RNA is filed under the name uncultured bacterium. RNAcentral's name for it is "partial 16S ribosomal RNA". It matches the Rfam family "Bacterial small subunit ribosomal RNA", at positions 28 to 507 of the family's 1533-position model. The record is from RNAcentral.